This 1018-nucleotide ribosomal RNA is filed under the name Streptococcus salivarius. Its description in RNAcentral is "bacterial SSU rRNA". It matches the Rfam family "Bacterial small subunit ribosomal RNA", at positions 61 to 1061 of the family's 1533-position model. Lineage: Bacteria; Bacillati; Bacillota; Bacilli; Lactobacillales; Streptococcaceae. The record is from RNAcentral.
GUAGAACGCUGAAGAGAGGAGCUUGCUCUUCUUGGAUGAGUUGCGAACGGGUGAGUAACGCGUAGGUAACCUGCCUUGUAGCGGGGGAUAACUAUUGGAAACGAUAGCUAAUACCGCAUAACAAUGGAUGACACAUGUCAUUUAUUUGAAAGGGGCAAUUGCUCCACUACAAGAUGGACCUGCGUUGUAUUAGCUAGUAGGUGAGGUAACGGCUCACCUAGGCGACGAUACAUAGCCGACCUGAGAGGGUGAUCGGCCACACUGGGACUGAGACACGGCCCAGACUCCUACGGGAGGCAGCAGUAGGGAAUCUUCGGCAAUGGGGGCAACCCUGACCGAGCAACGCCGCGUGAGUGAAGAAGGUUUUCGGAUCGUAAAGCUCUGUUGUAAGUCAAGAACGAGUGUGAGAGUGGAAAGUUCACACUGUGACGGUAGCUUACCAGAAAGGGACGGCUAACUACGUGCCAGCAGCCGCGGUAAUACGUAGGUCCCGAGCGUUGUCCGGAUUUAUUGGGCGUAAAGCGAGCGCAGGCGGUUUGAUAAGUCUGAAGUUAAAGGCUGUGGCUCAACCAUAGUUCGCUUUGGAAACUGUCAAACUUGAGUGCAGAAGGGGAGAGUGGAAUUCCAUGUGUAGCGGUGAAAUGCGUAGAUAUAUGGAGGAACACCGGUGGCGAAAGCGGCUCUCUGGUCUGUAACUGACGCUGAGGCUCGAAAGCGUGGGGAGCGAACAGGAUUAGAUACCCUGGUAGUCCACGCCGUAAACGAUGAGUGCUAGGUGUUGGAUCCUUUCCGGGAUUCAGUGCCGCAGCUAACGCAUUAAGCACUCCGCCUGGGGAGUACGACCGCAAGGUUGAAACUCAAAGGAAUUGACGGGGGCCCGCACAAGCGGUGGAGCAUGUGGUUUAAUUCGAAGCAACGCGAAGAACCUUACCAGGUCUUGACAUCCCGAUGCUAUUUCUAGAGAUAGAAAGUUACUUCGGUACAUCGGUGACAGGUGGUGCAUGGUUGUCGUCAGCUC